This 61-nucleotide microRNA precursor is filed under the name Eisenia fetida (common brandling worm). RNAcentral describes it as "Efe-Mir-1996-P1_pre stem-loop". The record is from RNAcentral. Lineage: Eukaryota; Metazoa; Annelida; Clitellata; Crassiclitellata; Lumbricidae.
CUCAAGUGAGGUCAGUGCUGCUGGGGUUGAUGACGAUGGCAGCACUGAUCCUGUUUGAAGC